Molecule: ribosomal RNA, 186 nt
Filed under: uncultured bacterium
Lineage: Bacteria
Description: partial 16S ribosomal RNA
Rfam family: Bacterial small subunit ribosomal RNA
Source: RNAcentral
CCUUCAUGAAGCUGGAAUUGCUAGUAAUGGCAGGUCAGCAUACUGCCGUGAAUACGUUCCCGGGCCUUGUACACACCGCCCGUCACACCAUGAGAGUUGGAAAUACCCGAAGCCUGUGAGCUAACAGUAAUGAGGCAGCAGUCGAAGGUAGAGCCAAUGAUUGGGGUGAAGUCGUAACAAGGUACC